Lonchura striata (white-rumped munia) is the source of this 1100-nucleotide non-coding RNA. The record is from RefSeq and is a predicted model, not a curated record. NCBI's taxonomy places the organism in Eukaryota, Metazoa, Chordata, Aves, Passeriformes, Estrildidae.
CGCAGUUGACAGUUGAUAGCGUCUGGCUGAUGCUCCUGUGUGCUGUGUCCGCAGGGAUCUCCGUCAGGAGAGCAUCUGGCAAGCACACGCCUCCUGGCUGCGCCUCUCUUUUGUCUACAAGCACUCUCUCUUUUUUGCCUGCAUCCUGGUUGUGGCGCUGGCCAUCGUCCUCUACCUCCUGCGGCUGAGAGCUUGGACUCCUCCUUAAAGACCAUCUCCAAGUCUGCACUCCAUCAUCCGUGCGUCAGAACCGGAGUCCGUGUGCUGAGGCAGCUAUGGACAUGAGAGCUUUCCUCUCCACCUUGCCCCAGUCCUAAUCUUUGCAUUCCUUGGCCUCUGGCCUUUGCCUCACUACAUGGUGUAGAGCAAAGUCCUCUGCUACCAGCAGGCUCAAGGCUGCAGCCCUGGCAGAUCCCUCGGAUAACAGGACACUAUCACUGAGGCAGCCAAACCAGGGCUCUGGCCUGAAGCACUGAGCCACCCCAUGACUCAGCCACCAGUUUGCAAAGCAACCUGGUGAGGUGCUGUGGUUCAUCACCUGGGGUGGCCUUCUGCAGGCCCUGACAAGCCUGGGGCUGGGAGAGUGGCAGGCACCAGCUAAUUUACUGCAGGAACAAGGUAAACCAUGAGCUCCACCAGGCUGCUCUGCCCAGCCUGGCCCCUCUUGGAGUAUUCCUGAAGGGGUGUCCUGCUCUUUGCUAUGUCUUCCCUCUGAGGACAAUCCUACAGUCCUACCCAACAUCCCAGAUUGAGCCCUGAGGGCUCACCGAUUGAUUUUUGAGGCACCACCAAAGUGGGCUGUCUUUCCUUUCACACAUUAAUUCAUUCCCUCCUGGGCACAGCUGCCCUGUGCUGUCCCAGGUACCAGUGUCAGGAUCCGUGGUUCUUUCCUCCAAGGGGGUGGGCUGGGCCUGCCCCGGGAGAGCCACCUCAGUCCAGCCCAGCUCAUGGCCCCAGGACAGGCCAGGCCUGAGCUGUGCACACAGGCACAAACCUUCCCUGGGGCUGCAGCCCCACCAGUGGUCCAAUGAAGUUUGUCACUUUACUGAACUCAGCUGUUCCCAUUCCUGUAGCAAUAAACAAACCCUGUGAGCCAUCCA